Mobula hypostoma (lesser devil ray) is the source of this 844-nucleotide long non-coding RNA. RefSeq lists it as uncharacterized. The record is from RefSeq and is a predicted model, not a curated record. Lineage: Eukaryota; Metazoa; Chordata; Chondrichthyes; Myliobatiformes; Myliobatidae. The transcript is spliced from 3 exons.
GCCAGGCACCGCGCCUGCGUUCUCCGAAAAUGCCGGCCCAUGUCCGCGACUGCGCCCCUCGGAAUGACCGCAAUGAAGAAUCCUUCUACUUUUGAGUACGACGGUAUUCCUGGGUCUCCACUCAGGUCUUGCAUGACUGACAGUGGUGAAAACUGAGAGGAAGCUACUGACGUUAUGAUAGAAAUCCUGAACACCGCCAGAGAUGGAGGACCUUCAUUGCUGCCUUAAACACCAGUGGCGUAAUGAACAGAGCUACUGCUGAAGAAAUCCUGAGUGGUUGCAUCACGGUCUGCUUCAGCAACUCGAGUGCACAGAAAAGAAAGAAGAGCAGAGAGCAGCAGACUCAGCCCAGUACAUCACUGACACAUCCCUCCCUCCAUCAGUAGUAUCUACAGAAGACACUACCUCAAGCAGGCAACUUGUAGCAAAGAUCCCCACCAUCCAGGCCAUGUCGUCUUUUCUCAGCUCCAGAAGCCUGAAGUCUCACACCAACAGAUUCAGCAACAGUUACUUCCCUUCAAGCACUUAUUCUUGAAACAACUGGCGAAACCCUAAUCAUUACAUUAUGACCACUUGGAUCACUUUGCACUAAAAUGGACUUUUACUCAUUCUAAUUGUGUUACUUUCUUGUAUGAGCAAUGUCCAAUUUAUGUUUAAUUUGUUUUUCUUAUGAAUACUCCUUACAUAAUGCUAUUAGCCUGUGAUGCUGCUACAAGUAAUUUUUCAUUGCAGGAUUAAUAAAACUUUCCCCCUAUUAACAACCAAUCUGAACCUGAGUCAGGACACAUAAAUGUGUUUUACUUCUGACAUGAUCAUCUCCAUAAAUAUAUCUAUUGAUCCACUU